RNAcentral lists this ribosomal RNA (438 nucleotides) under Pseudomonas aeruginosa. Its description in RNAcentral is "bacterial SSU rRNA". It matches the Rfam family "Bacterial small subunit ribosomal RNA", at positions 1 to 441 of the family's 1533-position model. RNAcentral also lists the same sequence under 1 other name. The record is from RNAcentral. Lineage: Bacteria; Pseudomonadati; Pseudomonadota; Gammaproteobacteria; Pseudomonadales; Pseudomonadaceae.
GAACUGAAGAGUUUGAUCAUGGCUCAGAUUGAACGCUGGCGGCAGGCCUAACACAUGCAAGUCGAGCGGAUGAAGGGAGCUUGCUCCUGGAUUCAGCGGCGGACGGGUGAGUAAUGCCUAGGAAUCUGCCUGGUAGUGGGGGAUAACGUCCGGAAACGGGCGCUAAUACCGCAUACGUCCUGAGGGAGAAAGUGGGGGAUCUUCGGACCUCACGCUAUCAGAUGAGCCUAGGUCGGAUUAGCUAGUUGGUGGGGUAAAGGCCUACCAAGGCGACGAUCCGUAACUGGUCUGAGAGGAUGAUCAGUCACACUGGAACUGAGACACGGUCCAGACUCCUACGGGAGGCAGCAGUGGGGAAUAUUGGACAAUGGGCGAAAGCCUGAUCCAGCCAUGCCGCGUGUGUGAAGAAGGUCUUCGGAUUGUAAAGCACUUUAAGUU